AGUGAACGCUGGCGGUAGGCCUAACACAUGCAAGUCGAACGGCAGCACAGUAAGAGCUUGCUCUUACGGGUGGCGAGUGGCGGACGGGUGAGGAAUACAUCGGACUCUACUUUUUCGUGGGGGAUAACGUAGGUAAACUUACGCUAAUACCGCAUACGACCUACGGGUGAAAGCAGGGGAUCUUCGGACCUUGCGCGAUUGAAUGAGCCGAUGUCGGAUUAGCUAGUUGGCGGGGUAAAGGCCCACCAAGGCGACGAUCCGUAGCUGGUCUGAGAGGAGGAUAGGCGGCAUGGGAGGUGGGCCAGCGUCCUGAGUCCUGAGGGACGGAGCAGUGGGGAAUAUGGGGCAAUGGGGGGAAGCCUGAUCCAGCCAGACCGAGUGGGUGGCGAAGACGCUCGGGUUGGAAAGCCGUUUUGUUGGGAAAGAAAAGCAGCAGGUUGAUACCCCGCUGUACUGACGGUACUCAAAGAAGAAGCACCGGCUAACUUCGUG
Molecule: ribosomal RNA, 492 nt
Filed under: uncultured bacterium
Lineage: Bacteria
Description: partial 16S ribosomal RNA
Rfam family: Bacterial small subunit ribosomal RNA
Source: RNAcentral